This 828-nucleotide ribosomal RNA is filed under the name Beltraniella fertilis. RNAcentral's name for it is "partial large subunit ribosomal RNA". It matches the Rfam family "Eukaryotic large subunit ribosomal RNA", at positions 84 to 940 of the family's 3401-position model. Lineage: Eukaryota; Fungi; Ascomycota; Sordariomycetes; Amphisphaeriales; Beltraniaceae. The record is from RNAcentral.
UAACGGCGAGUGAAGCGGGAACAGAUUGGCUUUCGAAUCUGGCUUCGGGUCCGAAUUGUAAUUUGCAGAGGAUGCUUUUGGUUAGGUACUUUCCGAGUUCCCUGGAACGGGACGCCUUAGAGGGUGAGAGCCCCGUACGGUUGGAUACCGAGCCUUUGUAAAGCUCCUUCGACGAGUCGAGUAGUUUGGGAAUGCUGCUCUAAAUGGGAGGUAAAUUUCUUCUAAAGCUAAAUACCGGCCAGAGACCGAUAGCGCACAAGUAGAGUGAUCGAAAGAUGAAAAGCACUUUGAAAAGAGGGUUAAAUAGCACGUGAAAUUGUUGAAAGGGAAGCGUUUAUGACCAGACUUUUUCCAGGCGGAUCAUCCGGUGUUCUCACCGGUGCACUUCGUCUGGUUGAGGCCAGCAUCGGUUUUCGUAGAGGGAUAAAAGCAGUAGGAAUGUGGUUCCUCCGGGAAUGUUAUAGCCUAUUGUAUAAUACCUUUACGGGGACCGAGGUUCGCGCUCUGCAAGGAUGCUGGCGUAAUGGUCAUCAACGACCCGUCUUGAAACACGGACCCAAGGAGUAAUACAUUUGUGCAAGUGUUUGGGUGUUAAACCCUCACGCGUAAUGAAAGUGAACGGAGGUGAGAGCCCUUACGGGUGCAUCAUCGACCGAUCCUGAUGUUUUCGGAUGGAUUUGAGUAAGAGCAUAACUGUUCGGACCCGAAAGAUGGUGAACUAUGCGUGGAUAGGGUGAAGCCAGAGGAAACUCUGGUGGAGGCUCGCAGCGGUUCUGACGUGCAAAUCGAUCGUCAAAUCUGCGCAUGGGGGCGAAAGACUAAUCGAAC